This 1275-nucleotide long non-coding RNA is filed under the name Canis lupus familiaris (dog). RNAcentral describes it as "lncRNA (ENSCAFG00000049921.2)". The record is from RNAcentral. Lineage: Eukaryota; Metazoa; Chordata; Mammalia; Carnivora; Canidae.
AUGGGGCGGAGGGCACCAGCGGCCCCCAGGCCAGGAACGGGGCACCCCAACCAACAAGCAGCCCCCGAGGGAAAUAAGGGCUGCAGCAAAACACGCUUCCGAGCGACGUUUCCAACUUUGCCCAACUCGCGCCCCAACUCCGGAGGCAGAGCUUGGCUCCCAGGGCGCGCCGCGCCGCCUCCCCGGGCGGCCCCGGGGCGGCCCAGCUUGCUCCCCGCGGCCUGGGCGGCAGCCGAGCGCCCGGCCCGAGCGCCUCGCCCAUCCCUACGGCCCACGUCCCCUCUCCGGUUCGCGCUGCGCCCGGCGCCCCUACCUGCGCGCUCAGCCCCGGGGCGCGGCCACAGCCCGCGCGGGGCCCCAGGUCGCGGUGCUGCGGCUACUGCAGGCGGCGAGCCCCGGUCGGGGCGGGUCCGGCAGGGCGGGCGGUGCAGUCCCCCCGGCGGAGCUGCUCCGAGUGGCCCGGCCCUCGCGCGCGGAGGCGGCUCUUGUAACUCCGGCUCCGGCGGGCGGGUCUGCCCGGAGCCGUGGGGAGAGGGCGGGGCCGGGCGGGGCCGGAGUGGGGCUGGGACCGGCGAGCGGGGCCGACCCGACCGGCCCCAGGAGCGCGCUGCUGCGGGGAGGGCCACGGGGGGUCGCGGGGACCAGGGAGCAGCCUUACCCCGCCCCCUCCAGCGCCCCCUGCCCUGGCCCGCGCCGGGAUCCACCCCCGCAAGGUUUGCAGCGCGCGGUCGCCCGCACAGCAAUGCUCCUCGGAGCCCCCCAAGGAUCGUGCUCCAGCUGGACGCUGCAGAUCAGCUCAUUUUGCCGGAAGGACCAGAGGCUCAGAAGGCGGCUGGGGGGCCCGGGGGGGGGGGGGAUUCCGACGCAACCUCCAGCCGGACGCGGAUCUUUGAGUUUUCUCUCAACCCAGGCGUCUACACUUCAAAUCCCAGGCCCCAGUCCCACUUGGUUCCCAAGCUCCAUGCAGCGGCGCCCAUUCCCCCCCCCACCCGGCUUUCUGACCCCCCGCCCCUCCCCCACAGAGGUCUGAAGACGCCGGCCCCACCCCUGGAGCCAGGGUGCCCACGUGGAGUCACCAGUGCCCCACGCACUAGGUGCUGCUCCGGCCACCGCGGCCACAGGGGAGUCAGGCCGGCAGCCCUCUGCGGGCUCCACCCCUGGGAAGCUGGAGCCCCAGCCUUGCCUCUACCUCCCCAUUUCUUUUUUUUUUUUUUUAAUUUUUAUUUAUUUAUUUAUGAUAGUCACAGAGAGAGAGAGAGAGAGGCAGAGACAUAG